GUAAUAGUCCUGUAAGUGAAACGAGAAGACCACGAGUUAUGAUCCAGAGUACCACGAGACACGUGAAACCUUGUGGGAAGCAGGGAGGACCACCUCCCAAGGCUAAAUACUACCUGAUGACCGAUAGUGAAGCAGUACCGUGAGGGAAAGGUGAAAAGAACCCCGGGAGGGGAGUGAAAUAGAACCUGAAACCGUGUGCCUACAACCGCUCAGAGCCCCUUAUGAGGGUGAUGAGGUGCUUUUUGUAGAACGAGCCAACGAGUUACGGUAUGUAGCAAGGUUAAGUACUUAAGGUACGGAGCCGAAGGGAAACCGAGUCUGAAUAGGGCGACUAGUUGCAUGCCGUAGACCCGAAACCGGGUGACCUAUCCAUGGCCAGGUUGAAGCGAGGGUAAAACCUCGUGGAGGACCGAACCACGUUGCUGUUGAAAAAGCAUGGGAUGAGCUGUGGAUAGCGGAGAAAUUCCAAUCGAACCCGGAGAUAGCUGGUUCUCUCCGAAAUAGCUUUAGGGCUAGCGUCGAGUAUGAGUAGUGGAGGUAGAGCACUGAAUGGGCUAGGGGGCAUAGCGCUUACCGAACCUUAUCAAACUCCGAAUGCCACAUACUUUGAGCUCGGCAGUCAGACUACGAAUGAUAAGAUCCGUGGUCAAAAGGGAAACAGCCCAGAUCGUCAGCUAAGGUCCCAAAGUGUAAGUUAAGUGGGAAAGGAUGUGAGAUUUCUAAGACAACUAGGAUGUUGGCUUAGAAGCAGCCAUUCAUUAAAAGAGUGCGUAAUAGCUCACUAGUCGAGAGAUCUUGCGCCGAAAAUGUAACGGGGCUAAACUUACCA
This 829-nucleotide ribosomal RNA is filed under the name Clostridium perfringens. Its description in RNAcentral is "partial 23S ribosomal RNA". It matches the Rfam family "Bacterial large subunit ribosomal RNA", at positions 364 to 1193 of the family's 2925-position model. Lineage: Bacteria; Bacillati; Bacillota; Clostridia; Eubacteriales; Clostridiaceae. The record is from RNAcentral.